Molecule: ribosomal RNA, 492 nt
Filed under: uncultured bacterium
Lineage: Bacteria
Description: partial 16S ribosomal RNA
Rfam family: Bacterial small subunit ribosomal RNA
Source: RNAcentral
AGUGAACGCUGGCGGUAGGCCUAGCACAUGCAAGUCGAACGGCAGCACAGUAAGAGCUUGCUCUUACGGGUGGCGAGUGGCGGACGGGUGAGGAAUACAUCGGAAUCUACUUUUUCGUGGGGGAUAACGUAGGGAAACUUACGCUAAUACCGCAUACGACCUACGGGUGAAAGCAGGGGAUCUUCGGACCUUGCGCGAUUGAAUGAGCCGAUGUCGGAUUAGCUAGUUGGCGGGGUAAAGGCCCACCAAGGCGACGAUCCGUAGCUGGUCUGAGAGGAUGAUCAGCCACACUGGAACUGAGACACGGUCCAGACUCCUACGGGAGGCAGCAGUGGGGAAUAUUGGACAAUGGGCGCAAGCCUGAUCCAGCCAUACCGCGUGGGUGAAGAAGGCCUUCUGGUUGUAAAGCCCUUUUGUUGGGAAAGAAAAGCAGCAGGUUAAUACCCCGCUGUUCUGACGGUACCCAAAGAAUAAGCACCGGCUAACUUCGUG